RNAcentral lists this long non-coding RNA (1239 nucleotides) under Felis catus (domestic cat). Its description in RNAcentral is "lncRNA (ENSFCAG00000046978.1)". The record is from RNAcentral. Lineage: Eukaryota; Metazoa; Chordata; Mammalia; Carnivora; Felidae.
AUUAUCUUCAGACAUCAGUGUGGUUUGAUUUCUGUGCAGAUGAGAUAGUUUACUAAGCAAGAAGUCUAACGUCAUUCAUACCAGAAGAUUUUUCAGCCUUGUCCUGAUGCUUUGCUGUCACAGAUGUUGUUGAUACCCAUGCACAUGCCAUCUGUACUCACCAUGCUGUAUACAGUCGUCCCCCCCUGCUUGUCUGGGAGGGGAUACAUUCCAAGAACCCCAGUGGAUGCCUGAAGCUGCAGAUAGCACCGAACCCUGUAUACACUAUGUUUUUCCUAUACAUAUACAGUUAUGAUAAAGUUUAAAUCAUAAAUUCGGCACAUAAGAGAUUAACAACAUUAACUAAUAAUAAAAAUAGGACAAUUAUAACAAUAUACUGUAAUGAAAGUUAUGUGAAUGUGCUCACUCUCUCUUCUUCUUCUUUUGAUGAUAAUAAAAGUCCUACAUGAUGAGAUGAAGUAAAGUGAACAACAUGGGCAUUGUGAUGUUGUGUUAAGCUACUGCUGACCUUCCGACAAUGUGUCUGCUUCCAGACAUCUGCUUCCAGACUGCAAAUGAUAGCAGGUCACUGGAUUCAAAGAACAAGAAAUGAACUCUAGAAGAUCAAAAGGCAGUACCAAUUUGAGAAGGAAAAAAAAUUGCAGAGCUAAAGAAAAAGCCAGAGGCUGUUCUUCCAGAGAGAUGGAAAUAAGAGGAAUAAAAUUAAAGAGAAAGUUUCUUCCCAUGGCAUGUUCCCAACAAUUUUGGACACUUUUGCAACUUGAACAUGGGUUUGAACAUGUUAAACAUGAAAAAAAAUAUUGAUGGGAGGAAAAAAGAGUAAGAGGAGAAUAGUACUUACUCUGGCAUAAGAGUAGAAUGACUUUACUGUGUAAAUAUGUAAAGUUUUCUUCCUCAUCUUCAAAAGUGUUUCAAAGCAACGUAAAACAAUUUGUAGACUGUGAAAUUCAUAUUAUUUACAACUUCUACCCACAGGACAAAUAAGAGUUGAUUUUUCACUAUUGAAGUGAAAUUAGCCCCAAAUUUUAUAUUGUAUGAGAAAAUUAGUUGUAUAAUACUUUGCAAAACUGAAGUCAAACCUUCAAUGUUACCAGAACAAUCAUCGUUUCUAGGUAGCUGCUACUGUUAUGGAACAUUAAAUGACUUUCAACUCAUGAGUCCUUGUGGAGCUAAAAUAUCCCAUGGCAAACAUACUGAACAUUAAAAUAAAACAGGAUCAAUACUCUUGAGUAAAAUUCA